GGUCUGUAGUGGCAAGUCAUAGUACAUUGUAAACACACCACACUGUGAUUUACAGCUAGUGCUACCCGGCAGAAGUUUGGACUCACUUCAAGCGUAUAGGAAAGUUGGAUGCUGAUUUCACAGCAUCCUAUAGAGAGUCUUGUGUCAACUAGCAAACGUUGAGAGAAGUAUUAAACAAAAAGGAGUACAAUUUUCAAAAGGUAAGGCUAUUAGUAUUAGAUAUAUUUGGUUUUCAGAUAAUUUAAUCUUAUCACAUAUCCUUUCCUUUCUUUUUUAGAAGACCUUUUUAAAAAUUUUUUGGUACCAAGGAUUGAACCCAGGGGUACUUAAUC
Ictidomys tridecemlineatus (thirteen-lined ground squirrel) is the source of this 332-nucleotide non-coding RNA. The record is from RefSeq and is a predicted model, not a curated record. NCBI's taxonomy places the organism in Eukaryota, Metazoa, Chordata, Mammalia, Rodentia, Sciuridae.